RNAcentral lists this unclassified non-coding RNA (441 nucleotides) under rhizosphere metagenome. RNAcentral's name for it is "partial ribosomal RNA internal transcribed spacer region". The record is from RNAcentral.
UGCCGAAGCCUGGUGCCCGCCGCGACUCUAAACAAUGCGCCCCAACAGUCCACCCGUGGUCUCCACGGGCGGGCGACGUCACCGGUCUGCUGGGACACCACCAGGUGGAUCAGCAGUCAAUCGUCGGCCCCGGCCGCGGUUGAUGCACAGAUUAGCGAGUGACGGCCACCCGCGCCCGGGUGAUCAAGAUAUAAUCGGUCCCCAUCGUGACGAUGGCGGGGCAACGUUCCGUAGGUGAACCUGCGGAAGGAUCAUUACCGAGUUGGGGUCCCCCCGGGGGCCCAAUCUCCAACCCUUGUCUAUACCACCGCGUCGCUUCGGCGGGCGCGCUCCCCCGCGGAGCCGCCGGGGAUCCCUAUCCCGGGCCAGCGCCCGCCGACCGCGACCGCAGUCUUGAAGUACAAUCACACAAAACUUUCAACAACGGAUCUCUUGGCUCUG